GGUAGCUUAGCAUCAGGAUUUACAUUUGAGUGAGUGGCGAACUGGUGAGUAACACGUGGGAAACCUGCCCAGAAGCGGGGGAUAACACCUGGAAACAGAUGCUAAUACCGCAUAACAACUUGGACCGCAUGGUCCGAGUUUGAAAGAUGGCUUCGGCUAUCACUUUUGGAUGGUCCCGCGGCGUAUUAGCUAGAUGGUGGGGUAACGGCUCACCAUGGCAAUGAUACGUAGCCGACCUGAGAGGGUAAUCGGCCACAUUGGGACUGAGACACGGCCCAAACUCCUACGGGAGGCAGCAGUAGGGAAUCUUCCACAAUGGACGAAAGUCUGAUGGAGCAACGCCGCGUGAGUGAAGAAGGGUUUCGGCUCGUAAAACUCUGUUGUUAAAGAAGAACAUAUCUGAGAGUAACUGUUCAGGUAUUGACGGUAUUUAACCAGAAAGCCACGGCUAACUACGUGCCAGCAGCCGCGGUAAUACGUAGGUGGCAAGCGUUGUCCGGAUUUAUUGGGCGUAAAGCGAGCGCAGGCGGUUUUUUAAGUCUGAUGUGAAAGCCUUCGGCUCAACCGAAGAAGUGCAUCGGAAACUGGGAAACUUGAGUGCAGAAGAGGACAGUGGAACUCCAUGUGUAGCGGUGAAAUGCGUAGAUAUAUGGAAGAACACCAGUGGCGAAGGCGGCUGUCUGGUCUGUAACUGACGCUGAGGCUCGAAAGUAUGGGUAGCAAACAGGAUUAGAUACCCUGGUAGUCCAUACCGUAAACGAUGAAUGCU
This 769-nucleotide ribosomal RNA is filed under the name Lactiplantibacillus pentosus. Its description in RNAcentral is "bacterial SSU rRNA". It matches the Rfam family "Bacterial small subunit ribosomal RNA", at positions 57 to 817 of the family's 1533-position model. The record is from RNAcentral. Lineage: Bacteria; Bacillati; Bacillota; Bacilli; Lactobacillales; Lactobacillaceae.